RNAcentral lists this ribosomal RNA (425 nucleotides) under uncultured prokaryote. Its description in RNAcentral is "bacterial SSU rRNA". It matches the Rfam family "Bacterial small subunit ribosomal RNA", at positions 355 to 796 of the family's 1533-position model. The record is from RNAcentral.
UGGGGAAUUUUCCGCAAUGGGCGAAAGCCUGACGGAGCAAUACCGCGUGAGGGAAGAAUGCCUGUGGGUUGUAAACCUCUUUUCUCAGGAAAGAAUUUUGACUGUACCUGAAGAAUAAGCAUCGGCUAACUCCGUGCCAGCAGCCGCGGUAAUACGGGGGAUGCAAGCGUUAUCCAGAAUCACUGGGCGUAAAGAGUCUGUAGGUGGUUUUAUAAGUCUGCUGUUAAAUAUUAAGGCUUAACCUUAAAAAAGCAGUAGAAACUAUUAGACUAGAGUAUAGUAUGGGCAAAGGGAAUUCCCAGUGUAGCGGUGAAAUGCGUAGAUAUUGGGAAGAACACCAGUGGCGAAAGCGCUUUGCUUGGCUUUAACUGACACUAAGAGACGAAAGCUAAGGUAGCGAAUGGGAUUAGAUACCCCCGUAGUCC